Non-coding RNA from Solanum lycopersicum (tomato), 440 nucleotides. The record is from RefSeq and is a predicted model, not a curated record. Lineage: Eukaryota; Viridiplantae; Streptophyta; Magnoliopsida; Solanales; Solanaceae.
GAUAAAUGAUCAAAUCUCUCUGCCAAAGCUCUGUAACUCCGGAAAAAAUCUUCCACGAAGUUCAGAAGCUCAGGCCUCCUCCUGUAGUACAUCUCAGCGCGCUUUGCAAAGGAUUCUCCAUCCUCGUCUAUGAUCUUGAUUUGAAACUCAGUGGAUAAUGGUCUAAUGAUACCGCAGUUUGAAACUCAGGGGAUAAUGAUCUAAUGAUGCGCGGUUUGAAACUCAGUGGAUAAUGGUCUAAUGAUGCGCGAUUUGAAACUCAGUGGAUAAUGGUCCUCCCCUCUACUUACAAGACAACAGAAGGAACAAACAAAUCUCAUCUGUGAUUUAUACUGUUAUAGUGAUCCAAGAAAGUUCCUUUAACAUCAUUCUUUUUUCUACUUCCAAUGCCUUUUUAAGACAAAUAUUACCUCCGUUUCAGUUUCAGUUUAUUUGUCUUA